This 253-nucleotide ribosomal RNA is filed under the name uncultured bacterium. RNAcentral's name for it is "partial 16S ribosomal RNA". It matches the Rfam family "Bacterial small subunit ribosomal RNA", at positions 524 to 776 of the family's 1533-position model. The record is from RNAcentral.
UACAGAGGAGGCAAGCGUUGUUCGGAAUUACUGGGCGUAAAGGGCGCGUAGGCGGCCUGUUAAGUCGAACGUGAAAUCCCCAGGCUUAACCUGGGAACUGCGUCUGAUACUGGAAGGCUUGAGUUCGGGAGAGGAAUGUGGAAUUCCAGGUGUAGCGGUGAAAUGCGUAGAUAUCUGGAGGAACACCGGUGGCGAAGGCGGCAUUCUGGACCGAAACUGACGCUGAGGCGCGAAAGCCGGGGGAGCAAACGGG